GCUCCAUCUAGAGGUGGCUUUAAUGCAAAUGCUGUCAAAGCCACCUCACUGCCAGUACGUUCUGCAGCUUGUGGACUCGUUUGAAAUGGACAACUGCCUCCUGUUAGUCCUGGAAAGACCAAUCCCCUGCAUGGACGUAUAUGAGCUACUGUUGAGUGAAGGAGGCACACUCAGUGAGGUGCUGGCCAAAAUGAUCAUGCUGCAGCCUACUGUCAUCUGAUCAACUGGUGCUUGGAGCAAGAUCCCACCAAAAGACCAAGCCUGAGGCAGAUCAGUAAACAUGGGUGGUUCACAGAAGACCUUUCAGGUUAGCCAGAUGAUGAAUAGGCCAUGUUGGAUCAGAACAUCAGCACCCAACAACUUACCCAACAAAUUGUAAUUACCAAUAUAUUAGAAUCACUGUAAAUAUAUUCCUGUAAAUAAAUUUUAAUUACUG
Molecule: long non-coding RNA, 436 nt
Organism: Hemibagrus wyckioides
Lineage: Eukaryota; Metazoa; Chordata; Actinopteri; Siluriformes; Bagridae
Exons: 3
Source: RefSeq, a predicted model, not a curated record